Molecule: transfer RNA, 90 nt
Filed under: Acidobacteriota bacterium
Lineage: Bacteria; Pseudomonadati; Acidobacteriota
Description: tRNA-Ser
Rfam family: tRNA
About the family: Transfer RNA (tRNA) molecules are approximately 80 nucleotides in length. Their secondary structure includes four short double-helical elements and three loops (D, anti-codon, and T loops).
Source: RNAcentral
GGAGGGGUGGCAGAGUGGUCGAAUGCACCGGUCUUGAAAACCGGCGAGCCUUCACGGGUUCCGCGGGUUCGAAUCCCGCCCCCUCCGCCA